GUGCUUGCUUUGGCAGCACAUAUACUAAAAUUGGAAUAGUACAGAGAAGAUUAGCAUGGCCCCUGCACAAAGAUAAUAUGCAAAUUCGUGAAGCAUUCCAUAUUAAA
Cavia aperea (Brazilian guinea pig) is the source of this 107-nucleotide small nuclear RNA. Lineage: Eukaryota; Metazoa; Chordata; Mammalia; Rodentia; Caviidae. The record is from Ensembl.